Molecule: long non-coding RNA, 390 nt
Filed under: Gopherus evgoodei (Goodes thornscrub tortoise)
Lineage: Eukaryota; Metazoa; Chordata; Testudines; Testudinidae
Description: lncRNA (ENSGEVG00005019967.1)
Source: RNAcentral
AGGGGAGGGAAGGGGUGGGGGGAGACCAGCUCGAAAAUUGCUGCCAGUUUUGAAAAGCCUACCCCUGGCAACCCCUCUGCUGGCCUGCUUAUGCAUUCACCAGCCAUUUAGACACUUUCGUUCCUCUUUAUUCAAAUACACGAAGGCGAGCUAGGCAGAGGUGAAUCCAGAUGUGCCUGCGCCGCUGUAAAUGAGCCCAGGAAGAGAGAAAAAGACCAUCAGCCUCCCAGCAAAGAACCUAGUGGAAAGGCGCUCAGGGAGCAAGGGAAGAAAAGUCACUGUAGGGACAAGGCUGGCCCUAUUACAGCUGAAGAAUGAUCGCGUUUUAAACGCCACAUCAUCCUGCCAAACUAUUCCUUUCGCAAAGAGGGAAGAACACGGAUUAUUGCG